UGGGGAAUAUUGGACAAUGGGCGAAAGCCUGAUCCAGCGACGCCGCGUGGGUGAAGAAGGCCUGCGGGUUGUAAAGCCCUUUCGGUAGGGACGAAAGCCUCCGACCUAACACGUCGGGGGGAUGACUUAACCUACAAAAGAAGCACCGGCUAACUCUGUGCCAGCAGCCGCGGUAAUACAGAGGGUGCGAGCGUUAAUCGGAAUUACUGGGCGUAAAGCGCACGUAGUCGGCUUGGUAUGUCGGGUGUGAAAUCCCCGGGCUCAACCUGGGAACUGCAUCCGAAACGGCCUUGCUAGAGUAUGGGAGAGGGAAGCGGAAUUUCCGGUGUAGCAGUGAAAUGCGUAGAUAUCGGAAGGAACAUCAGUGGCGAAGGCGGCUUCCUGGACCAAUACUGACGAUCAGGUGCGAAAGCGUGGGGAGCAAACAGG
RNAcentral lists this ribosomal RNA (429 nucleotides) under uncultured bacterium. Its description in RNAcentral is "bacterial SSU rRNA". It matches the Rfam family "Bacterial small subunit ribosomal RNA", at positions 355 to 776 of the family's 1533-position model. RNAcentral also lists the same sequence under 1 other name. The record is from RNAcentral.